Molecule: ribosomal RNA, 747 nt
Filed under: uncultured bacterium
Lineage: Bacteria
Description: bacterial SSU rRNA
Rfam family: Bacterial small subunit ribosomal RNA
Source: RNAcentral
AGGGUUUGAUCAUGGCUCAGAUUGAACGCUGGCGGUAUGCUUAACACAUGCAAGUCGAACGGAAACGAUGGUAGCUUGCUACCAGGCGUCGAGUGGCGGACGGGUGAGUAACGCGUAGGAAUCUACCUGAUAGUGGGGGAUAGCCCAGAGAAAUCUGGAUUAAUACCGCAUAAUCUCUAUGGAGUAAAGUGGGGGAUCUUCGGACCUCACGCAAGGAGAGCUAAUACCGGAUAACAAUGCAUGACACAAGUUGUACAUUUGAAAGCUUUAUGUGCUGAAGGAGGGGUCUGCGUCCCAUUAGCUAGUUGGUAGGGUAAAGGCUUACCAAGGCAACGAUGGGUAGCGGGUUUGAGAGGACGAUCCGCCACACUGGAACUGAGACACGGUCCAGACUCCUACGGGAGGCAGCAGUGGGGAAUAUUGCACAAUGGAGGAAACUCUGAUGCAGCAAUGUCGCGUGAGUGAAGAAGGCCCUUGGGUCGUAAAGCUCUUUUAUGGGGGAAGAUGAUGACGGUACCCCAAGAAUAAGCACCGGCUAACUAUGUGCCAGCAGCCGCGGUAAUACAUAGGGUGCGAGCGUUGUUCGGAAUUACUGGGCGUAAAGGGCGCGCAGGCGGAAUAGUAAGUCGGAGGUGAAAGCCCGGGGCUCAACCCCGGAGGGUCUUUCGAAACUACUAAUCUAGAGAGGGUCAGGGGCCGGCAGAAUUCCUGGUGUAGAGGUGAAAUUCGUAGAUAUCAGGAGGAAUA